AUUGAACGCUGGCGGCAUGCCUUACACAUGCAAGUCGAACGGCAGCACGGGAGCAAUCCUGGUGGCGAGUGGCGAACGGGUGAGUAAUACAUCGGAACGUGCCCAAUCGUGGGGGAUAACGCAGCGAAAGCUGUGCUAAUACCGCAUACGAUCUACGGAUGAAAGCAGGGGAUCGCAAGACCUUGCGCGAAUGGAGCGGCCGAUGGCAGAUUAGGUAGUUGGUGAGGUAAAGGCUCACCAAGCCGUCGAUUUGUAGCUGGUCUGAGAGGACGACCAGCCACACUGGGACUGAGACACGGCCCAGACUCCUACGGGAGGCAGCAGUGGGGAAUUUUGGACAAUGGGCGAAAGCCUGAUCCAGCCAUGCCGCGUGCAGGAUGAAGGCCUUCGGGUUGUAAACUGCUUUUGUACGGAACGAAACGGCCUUUUCUAAUAAAGAGGGCUAAUGACGGUACCGUAAGAAUAAGCACCGGCUAACUACGUGCCAGCAGCCGCGGUAAUACGUAGGGUGCAAGCGUUAAUCGGAAUUACUGGGUGUAAAGCGUGCGCAGGCGGUUAUGUAAGACAGUUGUGAAAUCCCCGGGCUCAACCUGGGAACUGCAUCUGUGACUGCAUAGCUAGAGUACGGUAGAGGGGGAUGGAAUUCCGCGUGUAGCACUGAAAUGCUUGAAAUGGGAGGAACACCCAUUGCGAAAGGGAUUCCCUCUACUGUGUUGUCACUCUUAUGCAAAAAAGCGUGGGGGAGAAACAGU
This 752-nucleotide ribosomal RNA is filed under the name uncultured Comamonadaceae bacterium. RNAcentral's name for it is "bacterial SSU rRNA". It matches the Rfam family "Bacterial small subunit ribosomal RNA", at positions 28 to 776 of the family's 1533-position model. Lineage: Bacteria; Pseudomonadati; Pseudomonadota; Betaproteobacteria; Burkholderiales; Comamonadaceae. The record is from RNAcentral.